GCCCGGUUGGCACAAUUGGUCAGCGCGUGAGACUUUUAUGAUAUCUCCCGUUUGGGAGUCAUAAUAGUGAUCUCAAGGUUACGAGUUCGAGCCUCGUAUCGGGCG
This 105-nucleotide transfer RNA is filed under the name Aspergillus fijiensis CBS 313.89. RNAcentral describes it as "tRNA-Lys". The record is from RNAcentral. Lineage: Eukaryota; Fungi; Ascomycota; Eurotiomycetes; Eurotiales; Aspergillaceae.